Molecule: RNA transcript, 2410 nt
Organism: Rosa rugosa (rugosa rose)
Lineage: Eukaryota; Viridiplantae; Streptophyta; Magnoliopsida; Rosales; Rosaceae
Exons: 3
Source: RefSeq, a predicted model, not a curated record
CUCAAAUGCCAGGUUCCCAGUGACCCAAUCAACCCUAAUCUUUUGUCAGAAUACCCAAACUGUUCUCUCUCACUGCCUCGAUUUCUCUCUCUCAGGCUCUGAUCGCCAUCAUCGCCUGCUUCUUCUUCUUCUUCUACAGACUUUGUCAUGAGAAUGUUGAUCAUUACUUUCGAGAUUGAACACGAAGAAGAAGAAGGGUGGUUGUGAUUGUUUUGGUUUGGUUUGGUUUUUUCGGGUUUGUCACAUGGAGGAGGAGACAUUUUUUGUUGGUCAAGAGUUCCCUGAUGUAAAAGCGUUUAGGAAUGCGAUUAAAGAAGCUGCAAUUGCCCAACACUUUGAGCUUCGUAUAAUAAAAGGUGACCUUAUCCGGUACUUUGCAAAGUGUGCAGCGGAGGCUUGUCCUUGACGUAUUCGUGCUGUUAAGCUUCCUAAUGCGCCGACAUUUGCGAUAAGAAGCCUUGAAGGGAAGCACACUUGCGGUAGAAAUGCGCACAACGGGCACGAUCAGGCGUCUAUUGAUUGGAUUGUUAGUUUUAUAGAACAACGCCUGCGGGAUAACAUUAAUUACAAGCCGAAGGAUAUAUUGCAUGAUAUCCAUCAGCAGUACGGGAUUACCGUACCUUAUAAGCAGGCUUGGCGUGCAAAGGAACGGGGACUUGCUGCGAUAUAUGGAUCUUCCGAGGAAGGGUAUUGCCUUCUUCCUUCAUACUGUGAAGAAAUAAAGAAGACCAACCCUGGAAGCAUUGCUGAGGUGUUUACUACUGGUCCAGAUCACCGGUUCCAGCGGUUAUUUGUUUCCUUUUAUUCAUCCAUUUAUGGUUUUCUAAAUGGUUGCUUGCCUGUUAUUGGGCUUGGUGGAAUCCAUCUUAAGAGCAAAUAUCUCGGCACCUUACUCUCUGCAACUUCUUUUGAUGCUGAAGGGGGUUUAUUUCCACUUGCAUUUGGUGUUGUUGAUGAAGAAAAUGAUGAGAGCUGGAUGUGGUUCUUGUCAGAGUUGCACAAGGCACUAGAGAUGAACACCCAAAAUAUGCCACAGCUCACAUUUAUAUCUGAUACACAGAAGGACAUUGCAGACGCUGUGAGAAGGAAAUUCCCAAAUUCUGUACAUGAUAUUUGCAUUCGCCACUUGAGUGAAAGCAUUGGAAAAGAAUUCAAGAACCCAAGGCUUGUUCAUCUGUUAUGGAAAGCUGCACAAGCCACUACUACGAGUGGUUUCAAAGAAAAAAUGGCUGAAAUAGAGGAGGUUUCUUUAGAUGCUGCAAAAUGGCUGCAACAAUUUCAUCCUUCCCGCUGGGCAUUUGUGUAUUUUGAAGGAACACAUUAUGGUCAUUUCUCAUCAAAUAUUGAGGAGUUCAAUAAAUGGAUUCUGGAAGCUCGUGAAUUGCCCAUAAUCCAGGUGAUUGAAAGGAUUCAUGGUAAAUUGAUGACGGAGUUUGAAGAACGGCGUAAGCAAAGUAAUUCUUGGUUUUCCUUACUUGCUCCAUCUGCUGAGAACUAUAUUUUAGAAGCCAUCAGCCGUGCAUCCACAUAUCAGGUCCUUAGAUCUGAUCAAGUUGAAUUUGAGGUCCUCUCAGCUGAUCGAUCAGACAUAGUGAAUAUUGGAACCCAUUGUUGUUCCUGCCGCGAAUGGCAGCUAUAUGGUUUACCAUGUUCCCAUGCUGUUGCUGCCCUCAUCUCAUGUCAGAAAGAUGUAUAUGCCUUUACAGAGAAAUGUUUUACUGCAGCAAGUUACCGUGAGACGUAUGCUGGAGAGAUAUAUCCCAUUGAAGCAAAACCCCGAUGGGUUAAGACAGAAGAGGCUGCAAUGACUGAUGAUGAUGAUAAUCGAGUUUUUGUGCGACCUCCUAAGAUUCGUAGGCUGCCAGGGCGCCCCGAAAAGAAACGGGUUUGUGUAGAAGGCAUUAAUCCUGGCAAACAUACUGUAUGUUGCAGUCUCUGUAAUCAGACCGGACAUUAUAAGACAACCUGCAAAGAGAGAUUCUGAAGAGAAUCAAACAUUUCUAGGUGUCUUAACUUUAAAUUCUAGAGAUCAUCUCAGCAGGGGUGUGCGAUUCACGUCUGCAACAUUUCCAUUAGCAAUCUUACAAAGUUCAUUCUUUGUGCUGAGGAGAAAUUCAAAUGAAACUAGUGAAGUGAAACUGAUGGAACAAGCUUUUGCCUUUCUGGUUGCCAAAUUAACUGAAGACGGCACAAUUGCUUUGUCAAACUUUUAAACCCACCAUUUCGCAGCAAGAAAGAUUUCACGGAUAGCAGUGGCAUAUUGACCUAUUUUUAACCUUUAGAUUGGUCUAUGCGCCCUGACGGCCCUGUGGAGUGUGCUUUACAAUGAUAGAUGGGUCUGCAAUAUGUGUAAAACUGAUGGAAAUUCUGAUAUAGCAUUGGCCUCGAUGGGAAAUAGCACAAUAUUUUG